Molecule: ribosomal RNA, 207 nt
Filed under: uncultured bacterium
Lineage: Bacteria
Description: partial 16S ribosomal RNA
Rfam family: Bacterial small subunit ribosomal RNA
Source: RNAcentral
UGCGCAGGCGGUUCGUUGUGUCUGUGGUGAAAGCCCCGGGCUUAACCUGGGAACGGCCAUGGAAACUGGCGAGCUGGAGUGUGGCAGAGGAGGGUGGAAUUCCGCGUGUAGCAGUGAAAUGCGUAGAGAUGCGGAGGAACACCGAUGGCGAAGGCAGCCCUCUGGGCUAACACUGACGCUCAGGCACGAAAGCGUGGGGAGCAAACA